RNAcentral lists this transfer RNA (68 nucleotides) under Pteroctopus tetracirrhus. RNAcentral describes it as "tRNA-Ile". The record is from RNAcentral. Lineage: Eukaryota; Metazoa; Mollusca; Cephalopoda; Octopoda; Octopodidae.
AGUAUAGCGCCGGAAUGAACGGAUUAUAUUGAUGUUAUAAAACAUAAGAAUUAAUAUCUUCUAUACUU